AAAUUGAAGAGUUUGAUCAUGGCUCAGAUUGAACGCUGGCGGCAGGCCUAACACAUGCAAGUCGAACGGUAACAGGAAGCAGCUUGCUGCUUCGCUGACGAGUGGCGGACGGGUGAGUAAUGUCUGGGAAACUGCCUGAUGGAGGGGGAUAACUACUGGAAACGGUGGCUAAUACCGCAUAACGUCGCAAGACCAAAGAGGGGGAUCUUCGGGCCUCUUGCCAUCAGAUGUGCCCAGAUGGGAUUAGCUUGUUGGUGAGGUAACGGCUCACCAAGGCGACGAUCCCUAGCUGGUCUGAGAGGAUGACCAGCCACACUGGAACUGAGACACGGUCCAGACUCCU
This 343-nucleotide ribosomal RNA is filed under the name Salmonella enterica. RNAcentral describes it as "bacterial SSU rRNA". It matches the Rfam family "Bacterial small subunit ribosomal RNA", at positions 1 to 340 of the family's 1533-position model. The record is from RNAcentral. Lineage: Bacteria; Pseudomonadati; Pseudomonadota; Gammaproteobacteria; Enterobacterales; Enterobacteriaceae.